GAUGAACGCUGGCGGCGUGCCUAAUACAUGCAAGUCGAGCGAACAGACGAGGAGCUUGCUCCGCUGACGUUAGCGGCGGACGGGUGAGUAACACGUGGAUAACCUACCUAUAAGACUGGGAUAACUUCGGGAAACCGGAGCUAAUACCGGAUAAUAUAUUGAACCGCAUGGUUCAAUAGUGAAAGACGGUUUUGCUGUCACUUAUAGAUGGAUCCGCGCCGCAUUAGCUAGUUGGUAAGGUAACGGCUUACCAAGGCAACGAUGCGUAGCCGACCUGAGAGGGUGAUCGGCCACACUGGAACUGAGACACGGUCCAGACUCCUACGGGAGGCAGCAGUAGGGAAUCUUCCGCAAUGGGCGAAAGCCUGACGGAGCAACGCCGCGUGAGUGAUGAAGGUCUUCGGAUCGUAAAGCUCUGUUAUUAGGGAAGAACAGAUGUGUAAGUAACUAUGCACGUCUUGACGGUACCUGAUCAGAAAGCCACGGCUAACUACGUG
Molecule: ribosomal RNA, 497 nt
Filed under: uncultured bacterium
Lineage: Bacteria
Description: partial 16S ribosomal RNA
Rfam family: Bacterial small subunit ribosomal RNA
Source: RNAcentral